This 485-nucleotide ribosomal RNA is filed under the name uncultured bacterium. RNAcentral's name for it is "partial 16S ribosomal RNA". It matches the Rfam family "Bacterial small subunit ribosomal RNA", at positions 30 to 506 of the family's 1533-position model. The record is from RNAcentral.
AUUGAACGCUGGCGGCAUGCCUUACACAUGCAAGUCGAACGGCAGCACGGGUGCUUGCACCUGGUGGCGAGUGGCGAACGGGUGAGUAAUACAUCGGAACAUGUCCUGUAGUGGGGGAUAGCCCGGCGAAAGCCGGAUUAAUACCGCAUACGAUCUACGGAUGAAAGCGGGGGACCUUCGGGCCUCGCGCUUUAGGGUUGGCCGAUGGCUGAUUCGCUAGUUGGUGGGGUAAAGGCCUACCAAGGCGACGAUCAGUAGCUGGUCUGAGAGGACGACCAGCCACACUGGGACUGAGACACGGCCCAGACUCCUACGGGAGGCAGCAGUGGGGAAUUUUGGACAAUGGGCGAAAGCCUGAUCCAGCAAUGCCGCGUGUGUGAAGAAGGCCUUCGGGUUGUAAAGCACUUUUGUCCGGAAAGAAAUCCUUGGCCCUAAGACGGUCGGGGGAUGACGGUACCGGAAGAAUAAGCACCGGCUAACUACGU